GUGCACGCUGGCGGUAGGCCUCACACCUGUCAGUCGCACGGCAGCACAGUAAGAGCUUGCUCUUACGGGUGGCGAGUGGCGGACGGGUGAGGAAUACAUCGGAAUCUACUUUUUCGUGGGGGAUAACGUAGGGAAACUUACGCUAAUACCGCAUACGACCUACGGGUGAAAGCAGGGGAUCUUCGGACCUUGCGCGAUUGAAUGAGCCGAUGUCGGAUUAGCUAGUUGGCGGGGUAAAGGCCCACCAAGGCGACGAUCCGUAGCUGGUCUGAGAGGAUGAUCAGCCACACUGGAACUGAGACACGGUCCAGACUCCUACGGGAGGCAGCAGUGGGGAAUAUUGGACAAUGGGCGCAAGCCUGAUCCAGCCAUACCGCGUGGGUGAAGAAGGCCUUCGGGUUGUAAAGCCCUUUUGUUGGGAAAGAAAAGCAGCAGGUUAAUACCCCGCUGUUCUGACGGUACCCAAAGAAUAAGCACCGGCUAACUUCGUG
RNAcentral lists this ribosomal RNA (491 nucleotides) under uncultured bacterium. Its description in RNAcentral is "partial 16S ribosomal RNA". It matches the Rfam family "Bacterial small subunit ribosomal RNA", at positions 29 to 507 of the family's 1533-position model. The record is from RNAcentral.